AUAAAUUUCAUAUUCUACAACACAUAUAAUCUAUUGACUAAAUGUAACUAAUGAUGAACCUCCAUACAAACAACCCCACUAAAAAGUGGGCAAAGGACAUAAACAGACACUUUUCAAAAGACAUACAAGUGGCCAAAAAGCAUAUGAAAAACAGCUCAAUAUCACUGAUUAGAGAAAUGCAAAUCGAAACCACAAUGAGAUACCAUCUCACACCAGUCAGAAUAGCUAUUAUUAAAAACUCAAAAAAUAACAGCUGCUGGCAAGGUUGCAGAAAAAAGGGAAUGCUUACACACUCUUGGUGGGAGUGUAAAUUAGUUCAACCAUUGUGGAAAGCAGAGUGGCGAUUCCUCAAAGAGCUAAAAACAGAACUACCAUUUGACCCAGCAAUCCCAUUACAUUCCCAAAGGAAUAUAAAUCAUUCUACCAUAAAGAUACAUGCACACAAAUAUUCACUGCAGCACUAUUCACAAUAGCAAAGACAUGGAAUCAACCUAAUACCUGAUAUGGUCUGGCUUUGUGUCCCCACCCACAUCUCAUCUCAAAUUGUAAUCCCCACGUGUUGGAAGAGGGGCCUGGUGGGAGGUAAUUGGAUCAUGGGGUAGAUUUCCCUCUUGCUGUUCUGUUGAUAGUGAAUUCUCAUGAGAUCUGGUUGUUUGAAAGUGUGUAGCACCUCCCCCUUUGUGCUAUCUCUCUCCUGCUGCCAUGUAAGAUGUGCCUUGCUUCCCCUUUGCCUUCUGCCAUGAUUGUAAAUUUCCUGUGGCCUCCUAGCCAUGCUUCCUAUACAGCCUACAGCACUGUAAGUUAAUUAAACCUCUUUUCUUCAUAAAUUACCCAAUCUCAGGUA
Molecule: long non-coding RNA, 844 nt
Filed under: Homo sapiens (human)
Lineage: Eukaryota; Metazoa; Chordata; Mammalia; Primates; Hominidae
Description: HSALNT0045771
Source: RNAcentral